Molecule: ribosomal RNA, 760 nt
Filed under: Lysinibacillus sp. enrichment culture clone CB2-5 8b1
Lineage: Bacteria; Bacillati; Bacillota; Bacilli; Caryophanales; Bacillaceae
Description: bacterial SSU rRNA
Rfam family: Bacterial small subunit ribosomal RNA
Source: RNAcentral
AGAGUUUGAUCCUGGCUCAGGACGAACGCUGGCGGCGUGCCUAAUACAUGCAAGUCGAGCGAACAGAGAAGGAGCUUGCUCCUUCGACGUUAGCGGCGGACGGGUGAGUAACACGUGGGCAACCUACCUUAUAGUUUGGGAUAACUCCGGGAAACCGGGGCUAAUACCGAAUAAUCUGUUUCACCUCAUGGUGAAACAUUGAAAGACGGUUUCGGCUGUCGCUAUAGGAUGGGCCCGCGGCGCAUUAGCUAGUUGGUGAGGUAACGGCUCACCAAGGCGACGAUGCGUAGCCGACCUGAGAGGGUGAUCGGCCACACUGGGACUGAGACACGGCCCAGACUCCUACGGGAGGCAGCAGUAGGGAAUCUUCCACAAUGGGCGAAAGCCUGAUGGAGCAACGCCGCGUGAGUGAAGAAGGAUUUCGGUUCGUAAAACUCUGUUGUAAGGGAAGAACAAGUACAGUAGUAACUGGCUGUACCUUGACGGUACCUUAUUAGAAAGCCACGGCUAACUACGUGCCAGCAGCCGCGGUAAUACGUAGGUGGCAAGCGUUGUCCGGAAUUAUUGGGCGUAAAGCGCGCGCAGGUGGUUUCUUAAGUCUGAUGUGAAAGCCCACGGCUCAACCGUGGAGGGUCAUUGGAAACUGGGAGACUUGAGUGCAGAAGAGGAUAGUGGAAUUCCAAGUGUAGCGGUGAAAUGCGUAGAGAUUUGGAGGAACACCAGUGGCGAAGGCGACUAUCUGGUCUGUAACUGACACUGA